Long non-coding RNA from Equus quagga, 336 nucleotides. RefSeq lists it as uncharacterized. The record is from RefSeq and is a predicted model, not a curated record. Lineage: Eukaryota; Metazoa; Chordata; Mammalia; Perissodactyla; Equidae. The transcript has 3 exons.
GUUCAACGGGGAGUGACUGAGUCCAUUGCAUGUCCUCGCUGCGGUGCUGUGGUCACUUCUCUCAUGUUGUCCUCGUGGGGAGGUCGGCAGGAAAGCAAGUGCAGGGAAUCUGCGAAAGAACCAGAACCUGGAAAAAAUCCUCAAUGGCUCCGGGCAUGGAUCCCUCUGCAGGAGAGAAGAGGUCCUGAAAAAUCAGGCCAUAAACUCUUUUACACUGGCUGCGGCAGCUUUGGGAAUAUUAAACGUGAUAAAAGCUCUAAAUAGGGGCCUAGUAGUCGGCCUGCCAGGAAACCAAGGAUGGGGGCCAAUGGGCAAGCUGUUUGGCUAUAUAGUGAG